AUCGGAUUACUCUGUAUUUGAAGAUGAAUCAGAGAAAAAUUUAUUUGUCUCGAGAAUAUACGGAAUUGUAAUAUCAGAGACACUAUUCGCAGCAGCUAUGGCUACAGGACUCAAUAUGAAGUGAGAUGAAUUAAUAUUUUUCAGAUUAAAGACGAAAAAUAUUUAAACAUUGUGUACUUUCACCAUUCAACUGAGUUUAUUCUGCUUUCUUUUGAGCUAUGGAUCUGAAAAAAAUUAAAUCACAUUGAAUGGAUUUAAUUAUGUAGUUUAUAUAUAUUAUACAGAGAAAUCUUCUGUAUUUCAGUUCUUACAUAAGAGAAAUGUUCAGUUUAUCUUCAGUUGAAAGAAUUGCUGCCAGGCAAAGUAUGCUUUUUGGUCCUGUACGUCCUACUGCUUUGUUAUCAUAGAAUAAGAAAUUAUUAUCCAAUAAACAAGAUACUAUUGGCUGUUUUGCCAAUUACCGUGGGCUUUCUUGGUGGAGGAUUGUGGGCUAAUGAGCGGCGUUACAUCAUACUCUAUUCGCUUGCAGCUGAUAUUAUUUUAAUACUGUUAAUUACAUUACUAGUAAAAUUUGAGAAGAUAUUUUUUUUACGGUUCGGUGGAAUUGUUACUAUCGGCUACUACUUGUUGUCAUUGUAUGCGAUAUUUAUCGGAUACUGGCAAAUGUUUUACCAGUUUUAUUAUUUAAUCGUUUCAUUUGCUAUGUUGUCUUUUAUAUUGAGCUUAAUGUUGUAUGGUUAUCUCAGCAGUUGUAUCAUUGGGAAAAAUACCGAGAAUCUGAAUUGGAUCUUGCGCAUGAAUGACACUGCAGAUGGAGCAUGCAUUGUAAUAUCUCAAUUCAUGUUUGUAUCAAUUUGCUUGAGUUUAUUGAAUUGUAAUACUGUGAUGAGUUUCUUACUGGAAACAUAACUGUCCUUGGUAACAGAUUUUGUGUCGGGAAAAAUGGACAGAUUGCAACAAACUGCUCGUUAAUUUCAAAUCAUCUUGGUCAAUUUGAACAAAACUAUGGACAAAUUUCUAAUCUCUACACAUAUGGGCAAAUUGUUGAAUCACUACCUUGUGCAUCUCUGUAAUAUGCAUGUGUCACACUUCUGAACCGUUCCUGUCCCGCUGUAUCCCAAAUUUGAAGCUUGACUUUUGCAUCGUCC
RNAcentral lists this unclassified non-coding RNA (1148 nucleotides) under Cimex lectularius (bed bug). Its description in RNAcentral is "uncharacterized LOC106663657, transcript variant X4". Lineage: Eukaryota; Metazoa; Arthropoda; Insecta; Hemiptera; Cimicidae. The record is from RNAcentral.